AUUGAACGCUGGCGGCAUGCCUUACACAUGCAAGUCGAACGGCAGCACGGGAGCAAUCCUGGUGGCGAGUGGCGAACGGGUGAGUAAAGUAUCGGAACGUGCCCAGUCGUGGGGGAUAACGUAGCGAAAGUUACGCUAAUACCGCAUACGAUCUAUGGAUGAAAGCGGGGGAUCGCAAGACCUCGCGCGAUUGGAGCGUCCGAUAUCAGAUUAGGUAGUUGGUGGGGUAAAGGCUCACCAAGCCGACGAUCUGUAGCUGGUCUGAGAGGACGACCAGCCACACUGGGACUGAGACACGGCCCAGACUCCUACGGGAGGUAGCAGUGGGGAAUUUUGGACAAUGGGCGCAAGCCUGAUCCAGCCAUGCCGCGUGCAGGAUGAAGGCCUUCGGGUUGUAAACUGCUUUUGUACGGAACGAAAAGGUUUGGCUUAAUACGUUGAACUCAUGACGGUACCGUAAGAAUAAGCACCGGCUAACUACGUGCCAGCCGCCGCCGUAA
Molecule: ribosomal RNA, 500 nt
Filed under: uncultured bacterium
Lineage: Bacteria
Description: partial 16S ribosomal RNA
Rfam family: Bacterial small subunit ribosomal RNA
Source: RNAcentral